GGCGGCCUGGAUGGAUGGACUGGUGAGCCUUGCCCCAUCUCUGCACUAAUUCUGUUUCCCCUCUGUUCCCUCCUUUGGCCCGUCUGUGUGACUGAUUUCUUCCCUGAACCUAGGCCCCUUUCUGAGGACAAAGACCCCUGGUCCCAUCUCUCUUCUUAUUCUCCAAUCUUUUGAUUGGGAUCUAGUGUAUCCAUGGCAUCUUCAAGUCUCUCCACUCCAUGGAUUCUCUCCCACAACCAUUUACCUGGAUUCCCCUGCAAGGUCCCUCCAGCCUCACUCCACAGUACAGAGCACGCCACAUGCCGAGCCACCACGGAUUCUAUGCCUACAUCCCAGAGGGCUCCCCUGGUCUCCAGCCUCUGUCCCGGUGACCCCAUAAAAGAAUGUGUGGCCAGGAGUUCUGAAAUGGCCGACCGGAUCCUUAUUCCAUGUGACCCUGAUAAGCACCUGACCUCCUGAGGGUAAAGUUCUCUGUACAGGACUCCAGGAAGACAGAGCUGUGGGAAACUUCAUGGAAUUCUGCUGCCAGAGUCAGGGAAGCUUUGUGAUGUGUGAAGCCCUUGCUGAACACAGUGAGAUUUCAUCAGUGAUGGCAGAGAGGCAAGAAUCAAGACUCAGAGAAAUCAACUGACUCCUACAAGAUCACACAGCACAGCAGGUCCUCCAAAUCCUAGCCCACAGUAGCACUGCUUCCAAGGAGCUUUUCUUGUUUUAGACAAAUGCUCAAGAUCUGAUAUACACUGAAAAAGGGACAGAAUCAGGUACUCAACACAAUCCCA
Peromyscus maniculatus bairdii (prairie deer mouse) is the source of this 779-nucleotide non-coding RNA. Lineage: Eukaryota; Metazoa; Chordata; Mammalia; Rodentia; Cricetidae. The record is from RefSeq and is a predicted model, not a curated record.